GAUAAACGCUGGCGGCGCACAUAAGACAUGCAAGUCGAACGAACUUAAUACCUUGCUUGCAAGGUAAGCGGUUAGUGGCGGACUGGUGAGUAACACGUAAGAAAUCUGCCUAUCAGAGGGGAAUAACAGUGAGAAAUCAUUGCUAAUACCGCAUAUGCCAUAGGAAUCGCAUGAUUGUAGUGGGAAAGGAGUAAUCCGCUGAUAGAUGAGCUUGCGUCUGAUUAGCUAGUUGGUGGGGUAAAGGCCUACCAAGGCGACGAUCAGUAGCCGGACUGAGAGGUUGAACGGCCACAUUGGGACUGAGAUACGGCCCAGACUCCGACGGGAGGCAGCAGUCGGGAAUAUUGCGCAAUGGAGGAAACUCUGACGCAGUGACGCCGCGUAUAGGAAGAAGGUUUUCGGAUUGUAAACUAUUGUCCAUAGGGAAGAUAAAAGACUGUACCUAUGAAGAAAGCUCCGGCUAACUACGUGCCAGCCGCCGCAGUAA
RNAcentral lists this ribosomal RNA (487 nucleotides) under uncultured bacterium. RNAcentral's name for it is "partial 16S ribosomal RNA". It matches the Rfam family "Bacterial small subunit ribosomal RNA", at positions 28 to 523 of the family's 1533-position model. The record is from RNAcentral.